This is a long non-coding RNA of Spinacia oleracea (spinach), 1512 nucleotides long. RefSeq lists it as uncharacterized. The record is from RefSeq and is a predicted model, not a curated record. The transcript has 4 exons. Lineage: Eukaryota; Viridiplantae; Streptophyta; Magnoliopsida; Caryophyllales; Amaranthaceae.
ACGAAUAUGUAAUUGAAAUGUAAUUACUUUAUUUCAUUUGGAAUACUUUUAAAUGGUUUAAGAAAUCAAAAUGUAUUUUCGAGUUUUACUUUAAAACGAGUUCGAAUUGCAAAACCACGUUCUAUUGAAAUUAGAAAACAAGUCCUAACCCAUGGUGGAUUCAUCAACCUAAAUCCUACUCCUAGCCCAAUUGGGCAAAGCCCAAACAAAAAAAAUAAAACCCUUCUCUUCUCUAUUCUUCACGUGAAAACCAAAAAAAAAAAAAAAGAGAGAAAGCCCUCACGCAACUCAGCUCUCCUUCCCUCCCGCUGCUCGCCGCCCAGCCGACCACCAUCGACGCAACCAGUGACUCAAGGCCGACCACCGCACGCGACCGUGCUCAGCCCUGCCGCGAGCCACCGCUGUCCGCCGGCCAGCCCCCCCUUAAACUCUUGAAUUGGCGGAGAAUUCUCUCUAGGCGACUUUUGAAAGUGUUAAGGUGGCCUAUCAGUUUGUUUACACAAGUCUCUAAGGAUCGAUAAGCGUUGCCCAUCUACAGGUUUGAAGAUGAUGCAUCAUUGGGAUCGGGAUUAGAGAGCUUGUAGUUCUAUUCGUUUAAUUAAGUGAUUUAAUUUGUUAACUUGGAUUUGAAAUUUGUCGUACUAUUCGUAUUUCCUUAAUUCAGUUAAUUGGUUUGGACCUAAUAUGUAAUAGAUUAUUUAUGAACCUAAAGGUUAGUUUUAUGUUUUCCGCUGCAAAAUUCUGAAUAAGCCGUAACGUUUUCACACGGGCGAUAAUACUUUGAUAAUUCCCUACAGUUAUAUUUAAAAAGAGGUUAUUUUAGAAAAUGGGAAUUGUUGGGGUGUUACAAAGUGGUAUUUUUGAGCUAAAGGUUUUACUGACAUUUCGUGUCUACCUUUUAUAUCUUAGGCGCCUAACCAACUAAUUAGUUAUGUAAAAGUAAUUUCACACUAGUGAAUAAAUUUAAAGUUAUUAGCUAGAAAUGUUUGAAUUUAUUUUAAUAUUGACUCUUGAAUCGUGCUUUGAAAUACGUUUUUAUGCGAAUAAAUGUAUUUCGAUUCUUUUGAAAUUUAAAUGAAUAUUUCAAAAAAAAAAAUAAAAAAUAAAAAAAAUAAAAAAAAAAAAAAAAAAAAUUAUUUAAUUAUUUAUCGUUUAAUAAUUAUUCUUUUAAUCAAUCUAAUUCUUAUAAAUCAUUCUUGUUUAUCCUUUUAUGCUUCAAUGUUUCAUAUACUAUGAUUAUUUUGAGAGUUGGGUAGUAUAGGAAAGGGCAUAUAGAAUAGAAGCAUUGUGCAUGCAUUAUGUCAACAUGAUUGUAAUUUCUCUACCUGCUAACUGUCGUGUCUUCCCUAUGCAUUGCGAUUGAUAUAUAUUCUUACUUAUUGUGUAUUGUGGGAUCAUACGGUAAGUGAGAGUACUAAUUACUAACAUAGAAACUAUGUUUAAUUGUUAUAGAUCACUAAUCAUGUCUGGCAUACAAGGAAAUAGAAUAGGGAGCAAUUCUAACCCUAUUGU